GUUCUUGCGGUCCUGUCUGCUUUGAUCUUUGAGGUUGAGUUGUUUCACCAAAGAAAAGCUCUCCAUGUGCUGGUAUGUCAGCUGAAAUAAUGGCUGUUUUGACACCACCGGUGCAGAAACUUUAAUCUUGGCAUCAUUCAUGUGUCAUGAAAGAAAAAACUAUGGCAUUUUCCAAAAAUUAUAUUCAGACCCGCAUUAUUACAAACAUUGUGUGUGCUGAUGAAACAUAGGCCUUCAUUGUGUUAUCUGGAAAACAACACCACAAUGUAUCCAUCAGCGAUGUAACAGUAGCGUGCAAGUAAACGUGUGUGUCUCAGAUCAUCCGCGGCAUGACUUUGUUCCUUUUUAUUUGGUUAAAACAGCUUGAUAUGUCUUAGGGAUAAAGACAAGCAUCAUCAUGGGGCAUUCAGGCAAGAUGUGUGGACCACCAGGCGCAGAGAUCCUCAAAUACAGGAAUAAAGCGCCAGGAUGAUGGCAGCAGGGGGCAGCUGAAAGGGUUUGGGCUUGGCAGAGAUGCAGGAUUGGUUGACAGUCAGGCACUUGCUGGUGACAGAGCAGCGGAGCUUCUAUCUCUUUGAACUUUGUUUUGGAUUAACUUCUGUACCCGAGCUCCCUGAUAAGGCCCGAAAAAAGAAAAAAAGUCCAUCCUCAAGAAGCCAACAAGCGUGGAUCCUGUUGGUUUCAUUUAUUGAGUUUUCAGCAGCAUUGGAAUUUGUUCAGCAACAUUAUGUUAGGCCACUAUUGACUGGUGUUAUCUUUGCCAUGAUAUCACAAUAAUAUAGCUUUUUUCUUUCUCUUUGUAAAUACAUCUUUCAUCAUCGCAUCUUAUUUUUCUUCUUAAGUGCGCAUGUGGUUUUUUACAGAGACUUUAAUGUGUGUUAUGAGCUACAUUCAACAGAUAAAAACUACAAAGCGUAUGUAAAAAGAACUCUUUUGAUAGCCUGCCUGUGUGCAUUUGAUCUCAAGCCAUUUGAAUUUGUCAGCGUUAGUCGUUUCAGUGAAAUGUACAGGCCUGAGGGGUUGUACUCUGGCAGAAGGGAAAUCACACGAAAUUUUAUUUUGAUGUUGGUUUAUAAAAAAAAAAAACAAGACUAUGGUUCAUAUGUUUCAGCUUCUGUUGUGUAAAUAAUGCGCUCUUGACAAAAGGAG
This 1149-nucleotide long non-coding RNA is filed under the name Danio rerio (zebrafish). Its description in RNAcentral is "lncRNA (ENSDARG00000117389.1)". Lineage: Eukaryota; Metazoa; Chordata; Actinopteri; Cypriniformes; Danionidae. The record is from RNAcentral.